GACGAACCGUACGAACGUUAUUCGGAAUCACUGGGCUUAAAGGGUGCGUAGGCGGCGCGACAAGUUGGGUGUGAAAUCCCUCGGCUCAACCGAGGAACUGCGCCCAAAACUGUCGUGCUCGAGGGAGACAGAGGUGAGCGGAACUUAGGGUGGAGCGGUGAAAUGCGUUGAUAUCCUAAGGAACACCGGUGGCGAAGGCGGCAUCCUGGACCGAUACUGACGCUGAGGAGCGAAAGCCCGGGGAGCAAACGGG
Molecule: ribosomal RNA, 253 nt
Filed under: uncultured bacterium
Lineage: Bacteria
Description: partial 16S ribosomal RNA
Rfam family: Bacterial small subunit ribosomal RNA
Source: RNAcentral